RNAcentral lists this ribosomal RNA (492 nucleotides) under uncultured bacterium. RNAcentral describes it as "bacterial SSU rRNA". It matches the Rfam family "Bacterial small subunit ribosomal RNA", at positions 28 to 514 of the family's 1533-position model. The record is from RNAcentral.
GAUGAACGCUAGCGGCAGGCUUAACACAUGCAAGUCGAGGGGCAGCGCGAUGUAGCAAUACAUUGGCGGCGACCGGCGCACGGGUGCGUAACACGUAUGGAACUUACCCUUUACUGGGAGAUAGCCCGGAGAAAUCCGGAUUAAUAUCCCAUAAUAUACGAAGUGGCAUCACUUUGUUUUGAAAGCUCCGGCGGUAAAGGAUGGCCAUGCGCACGAUUAGCUAGUAGGUGAGGUAACGGCUCACCUAGGCUACGAUCGUUAGGGGGCCUGAGAGGGUUAUCCCCCACACUGGUACUGAGACACGGACCAGACUCCUACGGGAGGCAGCAGUGAGGAAUAUUGCGCAAUGGAGGCAACUCUGACGCAGCCAUGCCGCGUGCAGGAAGAAGGCGCUACGCGUCGUAAACUGCUUUUACCAGGGAAGAAACCCCCAGACGUGUCUGGGGUUGACGGUACCUGAGGAAUAAGCACCGGCUAACUUCGUGCCAGCAG